RNAcentral lists this ribosomal RNA (440 nucleotides) under uncultured bacterium. Its description in RNAcentral is "partial 16S ribosomal RNA". It matches the Rfam family "Bacterial small subunit ribosomal RNA", at positions 338 to 795 of the family's 1533-position model. The record is from RNAcentral.
CCUACGGGAGGCUGCAGUAGGGAAUAUUGCUCAAUGGGGGAAACCCUGAAGCAGCAACGCCGCGUGGAGGAUGAAGCUUUUCGGAUUGUAAACCCCUUUUGUUAGAGAAGAUAAUGACGGUAUCUAACGAAUAAGCCCCGGCUAACUCGGUGCCAGCAGCCGCGGUAAUACGGAGGGUGCAAGCGUUACUCGGAAUCACUGGGCGGAAAGAGCGCGUAGGCGGGAUAGCAAGUCAGAUGUGAAAUCCUAGGGCUUAACCAUAGAACUGCAUUUGAAAAUGUUAUUCUGGAGUAUGGGAGAGGUAGGUGGAAUUCUUGGUGUAGGGGUAAAAUGCGUAGAGAUCAAGAGGAAUACUCAUUGCGAAGGCGACCUGCUAGAACGUAACUGACGCUGAUGCGCGAAAGCGUGGGGAGCAAACAGGAUUAGAUACCCGAGUAGUC